This is a long non-coding RNA of Chelonia mydas (Green sea turtle), 5256 nucleotides long. RefSeq lists it as uncharacterized. NCBI's taxonomy places the organism in Eukaryota, Metazoa, Chordata, Testudines, Cheloniidae. The transcript has 2 exons. The record is from RefSeq and is a predicted model, not a curated record.
ACUUACCUUUUUAAAGAACAGAAUUGUAUUUUUGGUGACCUAAGAGGUUUGUGCCCAUGUUGUUUAACCAGCUGAUUUGCUUUGUUUUUCUUUUUCAGCUCUUCCCCGGAGGGGGAGUGAAAGGACUUGAGGGUACACCACAGGAGGGAAUUCCCAAGUGCACCUUUCUGGUUUCAGGGGUUUUUGCACUUGGGUGGUGGCAGUGUCUACCCAUCCAAGGUCAGAGAGAAACUGUAACCUUAGGAGUUUAAUCAUCAUAGAAUAUCAGGGUUGGAAGGAACCUUAGGAGGUCAUCUAGUCCAACCCACUGCUCAAAGCAGGACCAAUCCCCAAUUUUUGCCCUAGAUCCCUAAAUGGCCCCCUCAAGGAUUGAACUCACAACCCUCGGUUUAGCAGGCCAACGCUCAAACCUCUGAGCUAUCCCCUCAGGGGAGACUGCACUGGCCAGUAUUAAUUUUUAAAAUCCUUGUGGGCCCCAACCUUCUGCACUCGAAGUGCCAGAGUGGGGAAUCAGCUUUGACAAUUACAGACGAGAAACUCUGCCAGCAGGGGUGGCUCAUGAAAGGUGGAUCCCAGAGGGACAAGUGCUGUAAGGACUGACCAUUGGUGAGAGGAACGUAACUAGUUAACACAUAGAGGCCAUAGACUGGGUCUUAUGGUUUUCUUUUACUUGUAACCUGACAUUUCCAAACUCUUAGACUUACUGUUAUUUGACUCUAUCUCAAGCUCUGGUAAACAAAUUUCAGCUGGGUUUUAUCAUUGACAUGUUGAACUGAGGUGAAACCAGAGAACUGGGGUUUGCUGCUUCCAUGGAGACAGCUGUGCGGGAUUUCGAACCCAGGUCCACGGGUCUCCAAGCAGUGCCCAGACUGCGACCGCGGCCCAGCAGUGCACCAGAGCCAGCAGGGGAGGGAGCUAACAGAACUGCAGCCCACCAGAGGCUCCACCCAUGAAGCUCCUGGGAGCAAACAUCCAGCCCCACUGAUUUUUCUGGUCAAGCUACUGAAGCCAGAAGGAGUCACAGGAAGUUGUCCGAGCAACUGAGUGAGUCCCUGCUCUGCUGUUUCUGGGGCCUAACGCAUGAUUCCAGUUUGACUCUGGCAUUGUUCCCUGACUCCGGUUUGGCCUUGGCUGCUGCUAGUCGAUUCUGACUCUAGUUAGACCCCGGCACCGUUCCCUGGUUCCUCGCUCCAGCUCAACCCUUGGUGUGUCUGUCUGAUGCCAACUCCAGUCCUGACCCUCCAUGUGACUCCUGACUCUGGCUCAGCCUUUGCUGUACCUCCUGACCCCAAUCAGUCCUACCCGUAGAGUGAUCCUGACUCCAGCGCUAACUCUGGCUUUGGUUCCUGGCGCCGACCCUGGCUCUGACCACUAGGCCUGACCACCCAUACCCUGGUCCUACAGCUUGCUCAGGCCUCUACUCCGCCGAGUGGGCCCAGCCUCGCAUGGACCCAGUGGCGCUCCUCUAACCCCAAGGAGCAUCGGCAUCACAUGAACAGGUGACUCCUCCAGGCAGAUAACCAAGUAAUACAGGUGCAGAUUGUGCAGCUGGCUGCUGAAAAUUGGGCAUUGCGGGAGCAAGCGCCUCAGCUCCAUGCAGAGAACACUGUGAUCCGGGCUCGACCAGCCAUGCCACCACGCUAGCUGGGACACGCUCUCCCUUUGCUGAAGCGCUUCAAAGGGAGUUGUCAAAAUUUCAGGGCUUCAUGAACCAAUGGUGCCUCUUGUUCCUGCUUCGACUGCAGAUGUAUUCUUCCAAGAAUAGCAAAUAGCCCACUGACUGGGGACACAUUGGACUGAGCCUCCCACUGUGGGAAACCAGCAGUUAAGUUCUGUCUAACUUGGACACCUUCCAGUGGGCGAUUGUGACAUUCUAUACUUGGGGGAGCACCCUGUAACCCCCAUAUCCCUCAAUUACAUAUCAUUUUGAUCUUGCAUAUAAAGCAGGACAUGUGAGGUAUCAGGGGAAAGAUGAUGAUUUCCUGAAAGCAUUUCUCUAUCCAUAUAUGUCUAUCAUUAAUGCAUAUGAAGUUAUGAGAAUUGUGUUGUAUGGUUGUCACUCAAACAUGCUGUAAGUUGGAGAAUCAAUCAGAUAUUAGCUCCCCAGAGGCAACAGCAAGGAAAGUUACCAGCGCCCAGGUGAGGUGUCAAACAACCCAUCAACAGCCAUCGUCCAGCAAGGGAGCUACAAUGCAAUAAGGCUACACCAAGGGAACUGCUCAGCCUUGCCUGGAGACUCAGCAAUGCCCCAUAGACAUGCCUGGACUUGUGUUCCCCAAGCACAUGGGACUGAGGGUAUAAAACAGAACACAGGGGCCCCAUGCUUGGCCUUUCUCCUGCCCCCACCUAUGCUGCAAGCAAUAAAGACACUGAGAAGAAGACUUAAGACUCCCCCCUGUUGGAAACCAGCCAUCUAGACCUGUCUAACUGGGACACCUUCCAGAGGACGAUAUCAACCAUUUUUUAUGACCAUAACUGUGCCCCCUUUGCUGAGGCUCCCCUGAGGAAACUUGGACAGGGGUCAGGCAUAGCCGCCUCCUAUGCAGCACCCUUCCAACCACGUAUGUCGGACCCAGAAUGGAACUUCCAAUGGGACUUGUGGGACAAGAUCAAGGACGAGCUGUCCCGAGUCGAGACCCCCACAGGUCGGGAUGACUUCAUUGCUCUGCUCAUCCAGACCGACCUUCAGCCACAUGUGCAACCCUGAUGUGAUGUCACAACACUGCCCCCUGCUCUUAGAUUCCGCUCUGCCAGGCGAGCUGAUGCAGACCAACCUGGCUUGCUGGUGACUCCUCCCUGAGGAAGGAGCACACCAGCAAUGCCUUACCCUGUGGGGAACCGGGUCACAUGAUCUCUUGUUGCCCCUCAAAGAACCCAGCAUGAAGGGAUCUGGGAAAUGAGCCAGCCCAAGCCCAGUGAAGGGCAUUCCCAACCAUCCCCUCACAGACACAGCUGCAGCAGAUAAUUUUAUCAACAUGGAGGCAUCCCAAGAUCUGCAGAUUUCCCUGCAACCCAAACCCAAACCCUCAUAGAAACAACGGAUAGGUCCCUGCUGUCCUCUGGGCUGGUGGCCAUGGAAACGGUUCCUGAGGAGCUCACUAUCCAAGGGCAGCGAGAGACACUACAGUUCAUUGCCAUCCGUUCCCAAGAUCCGGGGGAAAUAUGGGGUAUCUCUUGCCCAGCCCUCCAUGCCCUCUUAUCCGCUGGCAUGAACUAACGGUCAGCUUUUCCUCAGAGAUUUGUCAGCAGCACAGCUUGGCCCCAGGAAAUGCAGAGCAUGCAGUAGUUCCCAACCAGUUACAAGCCAGAGUACCAGAGCCAACCACUGGCCCUGAUUCUCUACUCCCUUCCAAAUAUAAUGUCAAGGUUCCUUCCCCACUCUGAACUCUAGGGUACAGAUGUGGGGACCUGCAUGAAAACCUCCUAAGCUUACUUUUACCAGCUUAGGUUAAAACUUCCCCAAGGUUUAUUUUACUAUUUUACCUGUUGUCCUUGAACUUCCGCUGCCACCACCAAACGUCUAACCGGGUUUAUUAUUGGAAAAGAGCAUUUGGAAAUGUCUUUCCCCCCAAAAUCCUCCCCAAAACCUUGCACCCCACUUCCUGGGGAAGGUUUGAUAAAAAUCCUCACCAAUUUGCGUAGGUGACCACAGACCCAAACCCUUGGAUCUUAAGAACAAUGAAAAAACAUUCAGUUUCUUAAAAGAAGAAUUUUAAUAGAAGUAAAAAGAAUCACCUCUGUAAAAUCAGGAUGGUAAAUACCUUUCAGGGUAAUUAGAUUCAAAACAUAGAGAAUCCCUCUCAGCAAAACCUUAAGUUACAAAAAGAUACAAACACAGGAAUAUCCAUUCUAUUCAGCACAGCUUAUUUUCUCAGCCAUUUAAACAAACAGAAUUUAACGCAUAUCUAGCUAGAUUACUUACUAAGUUCUAAGACUCCAUUCCUGUUCUGUCCCCGGCAAAAGCAUCACACAGACAGAGAGAGAGGCUUUGUUUUCCCUCCCCCCAGCUUUUGAAAGUAUCUUGUCUCCUCAUUGGUCAUUUUGGUCAGGUGCCAGUGAGGUUAUCCUAGCUUCUUAACCCUUUACAGGUGAAAGGAUUUUUCCUCUGGCCAGGAGGGAUUUUAAAGGUGUUUACCCUUCCCUUUAUAUUUAUGACAUAUAACAACUACACUGAGGUCUUUGAAAAGGAAAUUGCAGAUGCCUUGCUUCUGUGACACUCUGUACCUCAAAGUAGCACCCCGGAACCCCCAUUUUCACCAUAGUUAUAUGAUUAUGAUAUGUUUUAUACAAAGUAUGCCUUGUGAAGUAUCAUUUUAAAAGUAUUGAUCUGUAGAGCCUUAAUAUCCUGUUGGAUUGCAGGUGCUAUAAUUGUCUGUGAAGUUAUGGAUCACUUGUUCAUUCCCUCUGGGGCACCUGGCAUUGGCCACUGUUGGAAGACAGAAUACUGCGCUAGAUGGACCUUUGGUCGACCCAGUAUGGCCAUUCUUAUGAAGUAUUGCUCUGUGUGCUACUGAAAUAUGCUGUGAGGUUGGGAAAUGCCCACAGCUGGCCUUUCAGCAGGGACAAAGGAGCAACUCUCAUUGGCCAGACAGGCGUUGAUGGCCCAUCCACUAUCCCAGAGACUUCUCAGAGAGGGCACAUGUGCAAUGAGGACUUCCUAACCUCACGUCACAGCAAGGAUCUUUCUAGCAGCUGGAAGAAAGUAUAAAGGAGGGACAGUGACAUCAUCACUUGGCCUCUCUCUUCCCCCAUCUCAACACCUGGAAAAGCAUCUGGAAGACAAAGACUUUGAACUGGGGAGAUUGGUCCCAGUCUGGGAAGGGAAUCCAGCCUGUGUACUGGGAACUGUGAGCUGCCUGUAACAUUUGUUAAGGUGUGUACCUGCUGGACAAUCAGGGGAGCUACUUCAUUCCUAUGGAUCCCAAAUCAGAAUUCAACAUAUAUAUAUAUUUUAUACUAACACACUUAAAAUAUUGUUUAAUGAAAAACACCUGUGUACUAAUUAAGUGACAUGUGUUAACCUGAAACCAUUGGCGGAGACAUUAUGUAACCUUUUGACCAUUGGCUACUGUGCUUAUCUUGUCUUGCUGCUAGACCUAUCCAGGGGUUUGGAACUGCCUACCCCAUCAUUUCCCUCCGCCCAUGGAAAAUCCACAUAAUCCAUUGUAAUCAAUUGAUUGGCAGUGUCUCUGUGCCUAAUAAGCGAGGUGACACUCCGUCAGCGCUGUACGUAAUAAACCCAUGUGCUUGAUUCUA